Molecule: transfer RNA, 73 nt
Filed under: Pteropus alecto (black flying fox)
Lineage: Eukaryota; Metazoa; Chordata; Mammalia; Chiroptera; Pteropodidae
Also listed under: 1 other name
Rfam family: tRNA
About the family: Transfer RNA (tRNA) molecules are approximately 80 nucleotides in length. Their secondary structure includes four short double-helical elements and three loops (D, anti-codon, and T loops).
Source: Rfam by way of RNAcentral
GGCUCCAUAGUAUAGUGGUUAGCACAUCUGCUUUAUACGCAGAGGUCCUGGGUUUGCGCCCCAGGUAAAGCCA